Molecule: ribosomal RNA, 490 nt
Filed under: uncultured bacterium
Lineage: Bacteria
Description: partial 16S ribosomal RNA
Rfam family: Bacterial small subunit ribosomal RNA
Source: RNAcentral
AGUGAACGCUGGCGGUAGGCCUAACACAUGCAAGUCGAACGGCAGCACAGUAAGAGCUUGCUCUUACGGGUGGCGAGUGGUGGACGGGUGAGGAAUACAUCGGAAUCUACUUUUUCGUGGGGGAUAACGUAGGGAAACUUACGCUAAUACCGCAUACGACCUACGGGUGAAAGCAGGGGAUCUUCGGACCUUGCGCGAUUGAAUGAGCCGAUGUCGGAUUAGCUAGUUGGCGGGGUAAAGGCCCACCAAGGCGACGAUCCGUAGCUGGUCUGAGAGGAUGAUCAGCCACACUGGAACUGAGACACGGUCCAGACUCCUACGGGAGGCAGCAGUGGGGAAUAUUGGACAAUGGGCGCAAGCCUGAUCCAGCCAUACCGCGUGGGUGAAGAAGGCCUUCGGGUUGUAAAGCCCUUUUGUUGGGAAAGAAAAGCAGCAGGUUAAUACCCCGCUGUUCUGACGGUACCCAAAGAAUAAGCACCGGCUAACUUCG